RNAcentral lists this ribosomal RNA (241 nucleotides) under uncultured bacterium. RNAcentral's name for it is "partial 16S ribosomal RNA". It matches the Rfam family "Bacterial small subunit ribosomal RNA", at positions 1251 to 1500 of the family's 1533-position model. The record is from RNAcentral.
CACCUGGCGACAGGGCGCGGAACCCGAAAACCUGUCUCAGUUCGGAUUGGAGUCUGCAACCCGACUCCAUGAAGCUGGAUUCGCUAGUAAUCGCGCAUCAGCCACGGCGCGGUGAAUACGUUCCCGGGCCUUGUACACACCGCCCGUCAAGCCAUGGAAGCCGGGAGUGCCUGAAGUGCGUGACCGCAAGGAGCGUCCUAAGGCAAUACCGGUGACUGGGGCUAAGUCGUAACAAGGUAAC